Molecule: ribosomal RNA, 325 nt
Filed under: Athalia japonica
Lineage: Eukaryota; Metazoa; Arthropoda; Insecta; Hymenoptera; Athaliidae
Description: partial 12S ribosomal RNA
Source: RNAcentral
AUUAAUAGUUAAGUUCUUUAAAUUUAAAAGAAUUGGCGGUAUUUAAAACUAAUUAGGGGAACUUGUUUUUUAAAUGAUACUCCGCAUGAGACCUUACUUUAAUUAAUUUAGUUUAUUUACUGCCGUUAACAGAUUAUUUUUUAAAAAAUUAAAUUUUCUAAAUUAUUUAAAAGUAGUUAUUUCAGGUCAUGGUGUAAUUUAUAUUAAAGUAAAAAUGAGUUACAAUAAAAUUUAUUUAUUUAUGAAUAUUUAAUUGAAAUAUUAAAUUGAAAGUGGACUUAAUAGUAAAUUAAAAUAUUAUAUUUAUUUGAAUUUAGAAUUAAAU